This 253-nucleotide ribosomal RNA is filed under the name uncultured prokaryote. Its description in RNAcentral is "partial 16S ribosomal RNA". It matches the Rfam family "Bacterial small subunit ribosomal RNA", at positions 524 to 776 of the family's 1533-position model. The record is from RNAcentral.
UACGUAGGGUGCGAGCGUUAAUCGGAAUUACUGGGCGUAAAGCGUGCGUAGGUGGUUCGUUAAGUCUGUCGUGAAAUCCCCGGGCUCAACCUGGGAAUGGCGAUGGAUACUGGCGGGCUAGAGUGCGGGAGAGGAGAGUGGAAUUCCCGGUGUAGCAGUGAAAUGCGUAGAGAUCGGGAGGAACAUCAGUUGCGAAGGCGGCUCUCUGGACCAGCACUGACACUGAGGCACGAAAGCGUGGGGAGCAAACAGG